Molecule: ribosomal RNA, 422 nt
Filed under: uncultured bacterium
Lineage: Bacteria
Description: partial 16S ribosomal RNA
Rfam family: Bacterial small subunit ribosomal RNA
Source: RNAcentral
AAUCCUCCACGAUGGACGAAAGUCUGAUGGAGCAACGCCGCGUGAGCGAAGAAGGUUGUCGGAUCGUAAAGCUCUGUUGCGGGGGAAUAACAAGUACGGGAGUAACUGCCCGUACCUUGACGGUACCUCGGCAGUAAGCCACGGCUAACUACGUGCCAGCAGCCGAGGUAAUACGUAGGUGGCAAGCGUUGUCCGGAAUUAUUGGGCGUAAAGCGCGCGCAGGCGGUCCUUUAAGUCUGAUGUGAAAGCCCACGGCUCAACCGUGGAGGGUCAUUGGAAACUGGAGGACUUGAGUACAGAAGAGGAAAGCGGAAUGCCACGUGUAGCGGUGAAAUGCGUAGAGAUGUGGAGGAACACCAGUGGCGAAGGCGGCUUUCUUGUCUGUAACUGACGCUGAGGCGCGAAAGCGUGGGGAGCAAACA